AGCUUUGCACAGUGGCAGUAUCGUAGCCAAUGAGGUUUAUCCGAGGCACGAUUAUUGCUAAUUGAAAACUAUACAUGAGAAGAAUAAGCUUACUUUUGUCCCCCAAGAAUUAAUUUUUGCCCCCUUGGGAGCAAU
Molecule: small nuclear RNA, 135 nt
Organism: Neomonachus schauinslandi (Hawaiian monk seal)
Lineage: Eukaryota; Metazoa; Chordata; Mammalia; Carnivora; Phocidae
Product: U4 spliceosomal RNA
Exons: 1
Source: RefSeq, a predicted model, not a curated record